This 719-nucleotide ribosomal RNA is filed under the name Bacillus subtilis. Its description in RNAcentral is "bacterial SSU rRNA". It matches the Rfam family "Bacterial small subunit ribosomal RNA", at positions 125 to 830 of the family's 1533-position model. Lineage: Bacteria; Bacillati; Bacillota; Bacilli; Caryophanales; Bacillaceae. The record is from RNAcentral.
CCUGCCUGUAAGACUGGGAUAACUCCGGGAAACCGGGGCUAAUACCGGAUGGUUGUCUGAACCGCAUGGUUCAGACAUAAAAGGUGGCCUCGGCUACCACUUACAGAUGGACCCGCGGCGCAUUAGCUAGUUGGUGAGGUAACGGCUCACCAAGGCGACGAUGCGUAGCCGACCUGAGAGGGUGAUCGGCCACACUGGGACUGAGACACGGCCCAGACUCCUACGGGAGGCAGCAGUAGGGAAUCUUCCGCAAUGGACGAAAGUCUGACGGAGCAACGCCGCGUGAGUGAUGAAGGUUUUCGGAUCGUAAAGCUCUGUGUUAGGGAAGAACAAGUGCCGUUCAAAUAGGGCGGCACCUUGACGGUACCUAACCAGAAAGCCACGGCUAACUACGUGCCAGCAGCCGCGGUAAUACGUAGGUGGCAAGCGUUGUCCGGAAUUAUUGGGCGUAAAGGGCUCGCAGGCGGUUUCUUAAGUCUGAUGUGAAAGCCCCCGGCUCAACCGGGGAGGGUCAUUGGAAACUGGGGAACUUGAGUGCAGAAGAGGAGAGUGGAAUUCCACGUGUAGCGGUGAAAUGCGUAGAGAUGUGGAGGAACACCAGUGGCGAAGGCGACUCUCUGGUCUGUAACUGACGCUGAAGAGCGAAAGCGUGGGGAGCGAACAGGAUUAGAUACCCUGGUAGUCCACGCCGUAAACGAUGAGUGCUAAGUGUUAGGGGG